Anguilla anguilla (European eel) is the source of this 883-nucleotide long non-coding RNA. RefSeq lists it as uncharacterized. The transcript has 2 exons. NCBI's taxonomy places the organism in Eukaryota, Metazoa, Chordata, Actinopteri, Anguilliformes, Anguillidae. The record is from RefSeq and is a predicted model, not a curated record.
CUUUGCACUUCAGAAAACACCACACUGACUCAUUGUGUUGCUCGAACCCAAGUCACCUGUUUGCUCACAUACUCCUGUGGGUGUUAAACAGAAAAAAAAAGUCAAGAAUGGCAAAUGGCAGAAGUAUUCUGCCCUGCUAAAUGUCCACAUGUGGACUACUGCUUGAAUGAUGGAGAAGUGACUACAGGAUAAUGGGAGUCUCAGACCACUUGGCAGGAACCCGCGUACCUUGACCUGCUGUCAGGUCCUGGCUCUCCACAGCAGGCGGACUCGUUCACCCAACGCAGGCUGAUAAAUGCCACUGCAAUAUGGGGACCAAGGUGCUGCCACCCAUCCCCCCUGGAGCCAGGCCUGGUUCACCUGACAGGGCCAUCCAUCAACUGCUCUCAAGGUCCGAGCACCGAGAACAUCCAGGGAUGACCACUAAAUUGGUGUCAAGAGACCUCUGGCCUAUAAGAAGUGGCCAAACUCAUGGCAAUCAUGGAGGCCCUUGAGAUAAAUCAGAUCACAUCCUUGUGUUUAUGUGUCCAGUAAUGUCUACAAAUCUAAAGGUGCUUUUUUGUUCAGCAAGUCCCUUCACAGUGUUGUGUUGCAGCACAGACAUAAUUCUGUUUUUAGACACAGGCCGCUUCCCUAACUGUUUUUGGGAUCUGUGGAAAUUGCAGACUUCUCUAUCUUUCAAGUCUGAGAGACAAUUGGUAAAAAUGCUACUUGAAACUGGACUGGCAAGAGCAGACUUCAUUAAACUUGAAGUCUGGCAGCUUUGGGAGAUUUUCUCAAAUGCCUCAUAGAUAAAGGCGGCAUUGGACUGAGAGGCUUCUGAAAGCUCUGACCCAUUGUGUGCUGUUUGAAUUGUGCUAGGUAAUAAAUAGAGUGUAAUUUA